UACGUAGGGUGCAAGCGUUAAUCGGAAUUACUGGGCGUAAAGCGUGCGCAGGCGGUUUGGUAAGACAGAUGUGAAAUCCCCCGGGCUCAACCUGGGAAUUGCAUUUGUGACUGCCCGACUAGAGUGUGUCAGAGGGGGGUAGAAUUCCACGUGUAGCAGUGAAAUGCGUAGAGAUGUGGAGGAACACCGAUGGCGAAGGCAGCCCCCUGGGCUAACACUGACGCUCAGGCACGAAAGCGUGGGGAGCAAGAGAUGAUAACGGUAA
This 265-nucleotide ribosomal RNA is filed under the name uncultured bacterium. Its description in RNAcentral is "partial 16S ribosomal RNA". It matches the Rfam family "Bacterial small subunit ribosomal RNA", at positions 524 to 792 of the family's 1533-position model. The record is from RNAcentral.